GCUUGCUUGCUAUUGUGCUCAUUCGCACACGCUUGUGAGGGUAGCUCCCUACAAGCCGGCACUCCGGAGUUAGCCUACGCGACAGUUGCUCGCCCGUGCGGGAUUGGGUGCCGAAGUGGUUUGCCGUGGGGAGUGUUUACUACCACGGGGCCAUUAGGCGCGGCGCAAGCUGGACUACCUUGAGUAGAUCCCUGUGAAUGAAAGGAAAACUCUUUUGAGGUGAAAGUACUAAAUGACAAAGGACGGUAAUGAAUGCUUACUAGUUAAAGUGUACAGUAGUUGUAAUACACUGAACUUUUGCAAACUGCGGAGUUCGAGUGUGUGGAAUGGUGUGUGGAUCACUCCUACAUGUUCUAAAAGGUUAGAACAAGUGUUUGGAUAAGUUAGAGGAUGAUUGGAAUGUUAAAAGUGAGAAAUUGCAUCAACUGGCGAAAAUCAGCCUUUUUCUGCUUGCUGUACCGGUACAGCCCUUACCUUAUACCGGUACAAGCUGGCAGAUUCGGGGCAGCAAGGUUAGUUUGGUAAUUUCACAUCUUGUUCUCAGCUAUUUGAUCCCAGCACGACUCCUGGAGCUUGCUGGAGUGUGCUAGAGCUCAGAGGAGGGUUCUCCACCAUUUCUCUCUUUCUCUCUCUAGGGUUUUUCUCUCUCAACAUCGAAUUCGCCGAUUUCGCUCGUUUUCAUCGCAACGUUGGUUCUUCGUUGUUCGCAAGUGUUGCAGAGCCUACGUGGACGUGUGAGGGAGUGUUUUGGAGAGCUUUUCGCAGCUCUGGACCAGUGGGUUGCUGGUUGGAAGCUUGAAAGGUAAACGACUUGAUGAUUUUCCGUUAUCGGCACUCUAGUCGUCGAUUUGAGUAUUUCAGAUUUUUGCUCUUGGCUGUGCUAAACUGAGAAUUCAGCUAUUAUAAAUGAGAUAAUUAGCUGUGAAUUAACCUUCUUAGACCUGGGAUAAGCUACCUGGAAGCUUAAUUGGAAUAUUUAGUCCUUUAUGAAGCUAAAAUCGGAACUUAAGGCACUAAGUUGUGCGAAUUGAUGCAAAUUGGGAUUUUUUUCUUCGCGGCAGGUCUUCGAGCCUCGUUGAGCUGAACUUGUACUCUUUGAAGCUGGUUUGGGAGGUAUUCUAACCUGAGGUAAGCAGGGAAUUUUAGUUAGGAACUGAAUUCGCAAGAUUUCGCCUAUUAUAGCUUAUAAUCGACUAUAUUGAUGCCGUCUCGAAAUUGUUCGCAGCGAGAGGGUGUUUGACCCUUGGACCGCCUUCGUCUGGUCUUGGAGGACCUUCUGGAAGCUUAACGUGAGGUAUUGAACUAAGCCCAACAGGGAUUUAAGCUUUUCCAAUGUACAAAGUGUAAUUGCGCCGAAAUUGGCCUUUUCGAUCGUAAUUUUGAUACGAUAUGUAUACUUCGUGUUCAGCAGGAUUGCGACCUAGUGGAGUUGAACUUUGGAACUUCUUGGACUGUUUUGGAGCCUAGUACUAGGUGGGUCGGACCUAACCAGAGCAAGUGGAGCUCCCCUAUGUUCUAUAUGUGCUAUAGAAUUAGUGUUGUUGUGCGCUUUAGUGUUUGAUAUAGGACUUGAGAAGUAAAUUGACUUGAAAUCUCUAUAAAGUAGAGAACACAUAUACAUGAACGUAUUUAUCUUUAUAUUCCAUUCAGUUGAAUGACUUAUGAACAAGUGUAGAAUACACUUAUGAAAUGUAGAGAACAAUGACAUUCUCUUUUACUCGCUUGAUUACAUGUAGAAAACUAUGACAUGCUUGUUCCUAUGUUAAUAGUGCCAUGAUAGUGAAAGAUCCUAAUGCCAUAUGUAAAUUAGCAUUACUCCUGUAUGCUUACUAAACUAGUGGAUUCUAGUUGUUGUGAAUAUUUGUUAUACUGAAAUGUCGAUCAAAGGAUCGAGAGCGAGAACAUUGCAAAUGAAAACAUGAUAAUUGAGACAUGUUGGACUGUGAACUUUGCUUGCUUGCCAUCGUUCUCAUUCGCACACGCUUGUGAGGGUAGCUCCCUACAAGCCGGCACUCCGGAGUUGGCCUAUGCGACAGUUGCUCGCCCGUGCGGGAUUGGGUGCCGAAGUGGAUUGCCGUGGGGAGUGUAUACUACCACGGGGCCAUUAGGCGCGGCGCAAGCUGGACUACCUUGGGUAGGUCCCUGUGAAUGAAAGGAAAGUACUAAAUGAAAAAGGACAGUAAUGAAUGUUUAUUACUUAAAGUGUACAGUAGUCACUUUUAUAUUCGUGCUUAUACUCAUGUCUAUGUUCAUGAUUACAGAAGUUGCUAUAUCUCUUUUAUGCAAACGGUUCAUUACUGUAGAAAGCUAUUACAUGUUGAUUACAUGCUUAUUACUUAUUAGCAUCAUGCUUAUAAAUCAUGC
This 2364-nucleotide long non-coding RNA is filed under the name Ananas comosus (pineapple). RNAcentral describes it as "long non-coding RNA (ACOM_LNC039525)". The record is from RNAcentral. Lineage: Eukaryota; Viridiplantae; Streptophyta; Magnoliopsida; Poales; Bromeliaceae.